RNAcentral lists this long non-coding RNA (608 nucleotides) under Triticum aestivum (bread wheat). RNAcentral's name for it is "long non-coding RNA (TAES_LNC028055)". The record is from RNAcentral. Lineage: Eukaryota; Viridiplantae; Streptophyta; Magnoliopsida; Poales; Poaceae.
UAAAGACUGGAAUUGAAUAGUAGGUCCUUUUGGUACUGUUCUAUUACGAUUAGUGGCUAAGAGAUGCAUCAGUUCGACUAGGCAUUAUCAUGUAUUGUAUCGUAGUAUCAUUUUUGCAUAGACUAAAUACCUACUUUUGCUGAAGGUUACUUUUCUUAAUAAAAUUUGGUUCAGGAUGCCGUUUUGCCUGUUGUAGUACUUUCAGCAUAGAUGCAGUAGUGGUCUGCUCCCCCAAAGAUCUGUAGCUCGUGGAUGCGGUGGAUGUGGCACAGGGAGCAGAUGAAAUGGGAAUAAGAGGAUCCCCUGCACGUGCACAAAUUCUUGCUACCUGAUGGCUGACGGUGAGGGUGAGCACCGAUUUGUAAACUCGUCUCCCUUCCCUGCAAACUACAGUUCUUGUCAAUUAACCAAAUCACCAUCUUAUUUUUUCCUACUUUUCCCUUAUUUCUUAGAUGCCUCUGACCUGUCUUGAGAAGGUUCGAGCUGCAGGACGAUGUGUACAGUGCACCACCAAUUCCUCCAACAGCACAGCUGUUGUACUGGUAGCAGCGACAACAACUCUCCACACAAGCAUCGCUAGCUGCUCCCGUCGAUGCACCUGAUGCCGU